UUGAUCCUGGCUCAGAAUCAACGCUGGCGGCGUGCCUAACACAUGCAAGUCGAACGCGAAAGGGGAGCAAUCCCUGAGUAGAGUGGCAAACGGGUGAGUUACACGUGGGUGACCUGCCUUCGAGUGGGGGAUAACGUCCCGAAAGGGACUCUAAUACCGCAUGACAUCCUGUCUUUGGACAGAUGGAGAUCAAAGCUGGUGAUCGCAAGACCUGGCGCUUGAAGAGGGGCCCGCGCCUGAUUAGCUAGUUGGUGAGGUAACGGCUCACCAAGGCUACGAUCAGUAUCCGGCCUGAGAGGUCGGACGGACACACUGGGACUGAGACACGGCCCAGACUCCUACGGGAGGCUGCAGUGGGGAAUUGUUCGCAAUGGGCGCAAGCCUGACGACGCAACGCCGUGUGGAGGAUGAAGAUUUUCGGAUCGUAAACUCCUGUCGAGCGGGAAGAAUAGUUUCAGCGUAAAUACCGCUGGAGCCUGACGGUACCGCUAAAGGAAGCUCCGGCUAACUCCGUGCCAGCAGCCGCGGUAAUAAGGU
Molecule: ribosomal RNA, 537 nt
Filed under: uncultured Acidobacteriota bacterium
Lineage: Bacteria; Pseudomonadati; Acidobacteriota
Description: bacterial SSU rRNA
Rfam family: Bacterial small subunit ribosomal RNA
Source: RNAcentral